This 73-nucleotide transfer RNA is filed under the name Bos taurus (domestic cattle). It matches the Rfam family "tRNA". From Rfam's summary of the family: Transfer RNA (tRNA) molecules are approximately 80 nucleotides in length. Their secondary structure includes four short double-helical elements and three loops (D, anti-codon, and T loops). RNAcentral also lists the same sequence under 5 other names. Lineage: Eukaryota; Metazoa; Chordata; Mammalia; Artiodactyla; Bovidae. The record is from Rfam by way of RNAcentral.
UUCUUGGUGGUCCAGUGGCUAAGAUACCACACUCCCAAUGCAGGGGGUCUAGGUUCGAUUCCUGGUCAGGGAA